GAUGAACGCUGGCGGCGUGCCUAAUACAUGCAAGUCGAGCGAACGGACGAGAAGCUUGCUUCUCUGAUGUUAGCGGCGGACGGGUGAGUAACACGUGGAUAACCUACCUAUAAGACUGGGAUAACUUCGGGAAACCGUAGCUAAUACCGGAUAAUAUUUUGAACCGCAUGGUUCAAAAGUGAAAGACGGUCUUGCUGUCACUUAUAGAUGGAUCCGCGCUGCAUUAGCUAGUUGGUAAGGUAACGGCUUACCAAGGCAACGAUGCAUAGCCGACCUGAGAGGGUGAUCGGCCACACCGGAACUGAGACACGGUCCAGACUCCUACGGGAGGCAGCAGUAGGGAAUCUUCCGCAAUGGGGGAAAGCCUGACGGAGCAACGCCGCGUGAGUGAUGAGGGUCUUCGGAUCGUAAAACUCUGUUAUUAGGGAAGAACAUAUGUGUAAGUAACUGUGCACAUCUUGACGGUACCUAAUCAGAAAGCCACGGCUAACUACGUG
RNAcentral lists this ribosomal RNA (497 nucleotides) under uncultured bacterium. Its description in RNAcentral is "partial 16S ribosomal RNA". It matches the Rfam family "Bacterial small subunit ribosomal RNA", at positions 28 to 507 of the family's 1533-position model. The record is from RNAcentral.